ACACUGUACGAGUUUGAUCCUGGCUCAGGAUGAACGCUAGCGGCAGGCCUAAUACAUGCAAGUCAAGGGGAUAGCAAUAUCACCGGCGGACGGGUGCGUAACGCGUACACAACGUGCCCAAGGGCGGAGGAAAGCGGCGGGAAACUGCCGGUAAUACUCCAUGGUGUUGUUGAGUGGCAUCACUUAACAACUAAAGUACAAGCGCCCUUGGAUCGGUGUGCGUUCGAUUAGCUAGUUGGCGGGGUAACGGCCCACCAAGGCUUCGAUCGAUAGGGGGUGUGAGAGCAUGACCCCCCACACGGGUACUGAGACACGGACCCGACUCCUACGGGAGGCAGCAGUAAGGAAUAUUGGACAAUGGGCGGAAGCCUGAUCCAGCCAUGCCGCGUGAAGGACGAAGGCGCUCAGCGUUGUAAACUUCUUUUGGAUGGGAACAAUAACUCCGACUUGUCGGAACUUGAGGGUACCAUCAGAAUAAGCACCGGCUAACUCCGUG
This 496-nucleotide ribosomal RNA is filed under the name uncultured bacterium. RNAcentral's name for it is "bacterial SSU rRNA". It matches the Rfam family "Bacterial small subunit ribosomal RNA", at positions 1 to 507 of the family's 1533-position model. The record is from RNAcentral.